UGAUAUCGCGGCUUGCUUUUACCAUGGCUGCCGUUUUACGGUGCAUGUGGUUGCAUGCAAGGGUGCAGACCUGAUUUCGUGAAUAUAUUUAGGUUUUCCUGUCUGGCCGCAACUCACGCCGCUUUUUCGUAGGGACCACAGAGUGACUGAAAGAAUACUGGCCGCUCAAUUUUGUGGCACAUUUCCUUGGCUCGUGGUUCGAACAAGGCAGGGACGGACACACAGGUCAAGCUACGUUUCCCAGCAGACGAGGGCGACUUUCCCGUGGCUCAUGGUUCCAACAACGGGGGGACGAACAGCCGGGCCAAGUUCCAUUUCCCAGGUGACAAGAACCUUCUCGUGGCUCGUGAUGCAAACAACGGGGGGACGGACAGCCGGGCCAAUUAUCCGCAUCCCAGCAAACAAGGCGAGCACAAUC
Molecule: long non-coding RNA, 418 nt
Organism: Dermacentor albipictus
Lineage: Eukaryota; Metazoa; Arthropoda; Arachnida; Ixodida; Ixodidae
Source: RefSeq, a predicted model, not a curated record